AUUGAACGCUGGCGGCAGGCCUAACACAUGCAAGUCGAGCGAGCGGCGGACGGGUGAGUAAUGUCUGGGAAUCUGCCCGAUAGAGGGGGAUAACUACUGGAAACGGUAGCUAAUACCGCAUACUAUCGGAUGUACCCAGAUGGGAUUAGCUAGUAGGUGGGGUAAAGGCUCACCAAGGCGACGAUCCCUAGCUGGUCUGAGAGGAUGACCAGCCACACUGGGACUGAGACACGGUCCAGACUCCUACGGGAGGCAGCAGUGGGGAAUAUGGCACAAUGGGCGCAAGCCUGAUGCAGCCAUGCCGCGUGUAUGAAGAAGGCCUUAGGGUUGUAAAGUACUUUCAGCGGGGAGGCGUUACCCGCAGAAGAAGCACCGGCUAACUCCGUGCCAGCAGCCGCGGUAAUAC
RNAcentral lists this ribosomal RNA (406 nucleotides) under uncultured bacterium. RNAcentral's name for it is "partial 16S ribosomal RNA". It matches the Rfam family "Bacterial small subunit ribosomal RNA", at positions 30 to 526 of the family's 1533-position model. The record is from RNAcentral.